ACACUUAGUCAUCCCCCAUGAAGUACUGACUGACAGACUAGAGCUCUAUACUGACCGUAACCAAUCACCCGGCCAAGGCUUGAUUCCCGGUCCACCACGAAGGCUCCUAAUCUAAUGCACACCAUCACCACUAAGGCACACAUAUUCACAACUAAUGCACUCACUCACCACUAAGGCACACAUUCUAUUACUCUCACGUCAUAACACUUAUCAAAUCAUAAAAUAAUAAUAUCAUAACCGUAACCAAUCACCCGAUUAAAGGCUUGGAACCCGGUUUGACUAUUUAAACAACAAUUCACAAUAUAAAAAUAUCAUCAACAACAACACAAGAGCACUUCAUAAAUUAUAUCUUUCCACCUAGAUAUAUUUAUAUAACAAAGACAUAGAUAUUCCCACUAGAAUAAAAAUAUCAACAACCAUAUUUCAGCAUCACAAAUCACAUGAUCGGAAGUCCUUUUGAAAGAUUUUAUUUUACCAGAAAGCAUAUUUUCACUUACCCAUAAGCCGUUGACGAUCAAGCUUAUUUAUUUUUAAAACAAAAAUCAUUUUCCUUUAAGGACAAUUUCACAACUAACAAUAAUAAAAUUAUAAAAUAAACUCGGUUUCUUAUGAACCCAUGUGAGAUUUACUCACAAUAUAACAAUAGCAUCAUAAUUAUCAUAUCAUCAACAUUUCCAUCAACAUUAUCAUCAUCAUCAUUAAUCUCAUCAUCAUCAAAAUUAUCAUCAUAAUCAUCAUCAAAAUCAACAUCAUAAUCAUAAUCAUAAUAAUUAUAAAUAUUUGGUCCCAAAGUGGACCUUGGUGAGAUGUUACUCACCUCAAAUCCAGCUGCGUCUUCGCACGCACAACACAAGCAUAUAGCACAAAACCACCCCACAAGUCACCUAUUAACAAAAACGUUAACCUUAGCAACUAUGAAAAACAACAUUAUCCGACUCGAACCGAAACUCAAGUCCUAACCCACGAGCUUGCCACUUGAGACAAAACUUCCUCCUUGACCUCUAAAAGGUCGCCGAAACGUCCAACACAUCCUAUAGAACUACUAACCAGAUUCUCAUGUUCGGAUUACUCAAAAAAAUGAAACGAACGAAACUUAACACCACGGGGAAACCCUAGCAUGCAAU
Molecule: long non-coding RNA, 1124 nt
Filed under: Fragaria vesca (wild strawberry)
Lineage: Eukaryota; Viridiplantae; Streptophyta; Magnoliopsida; Rosales; Rosaceae
Description: long non-coding RNA (FVES_LNC004503)
Source: RNAcentral